RNAcentral lists this ribosomal RNA (1396 nucleotides) under Lactiplantibacillus pentosus. Its description in RNAcentral is "bacterial SSU rRNA". It matches the Rfam family "Bacterial small subunit ribosomal RNA", at positions 65 to 1431 of the family's 1533-position model. The record is from RNAcentral. Lineage: Bacteria; Bacillati; Bacillota; Bacilli; Lactobacillales; Lactobacillaceae.
AACUCUGGUAUUGAUUGGUGCUUGCAUCAUGAUUUACAUUUGAGUGAGUGGCGAACUGGUGAGUAACACGUGGGAAACCUGCCCAGAAGCGGGGGAUAACACCUGGAAACAGAUGCUAAUACCGCAUAACAACUUGGACCGCAUGGUCCGAGUUUGAAAGAUGGCUUCGGCUAUCACUUUUGGAUGGUCCCGCGGCGUAUUAGCUAGAUGGUGGGGUAACGGCUCACCAUGGCAAUGAUACGUAGCCGACCUGAGAGGGUAAUCGGCCACAUUGGGACUGAGACACGGCCCAAACUCCUACGGGAGGCAGCAGUAGGGAAUCUUCCACAAUGGACGAAAGUCUGAUGGAGCAACGCCGCGUGAGUGAAGAAGGGUUUCGGCUCGUAAAACUCUGUUGUUAAAGAAGAACAUAUCUGAGAGUAACUGUUCAGGUAUUGACGGUAUUUAACCAGAAAGCCACGGCUAACUACGUGCCAGCAGCCGCGGUAAUACGUAGGUGGCAAGCGUUGUCCGGAUUUAUUGGGCGUAAAGCGAGCGCAGGCGGUUUUUUAAGUCUGAUGUGAAAGCCUUCGGCUCAACCGAAGAAGUGCAUCGGAAACUGGGAAACUUGAGUGCAGAAGAGGACAAUGGAACUCCAUGUGUAGCGGUGAAAUGCGUAGAUAUAUGGAAGAACACCAGUGGCGAAGGCGGCUGUCUGGUCUGUAACUGACGCUGAGGCUCGAAAGUAUGGGUAGCAAACAGGAUUAGAUACCCUGGUAGUCCAUACCGUAAACGAUGAAUGCUAAGUGUUGGAGGGUUUCCGCCCUUCAGUGCUGCAGCUAACGCAUUAAGCAUUCCGCCUGGGGAGUACGGCCGCAAGGCUGAAACUCAAAGGAAUUGACGGGGGCCCGCACAAGCGGUGGAGCAUGUGGUUUAAUUCGAAGCUACGCGAAGAACCUUACCAGGUCUUGACAUACUAUGCAAAUCUAAGAGAUUAGACCUUCCCUUCGGGGACAUGGAUACAGGUGGUGCAUGGUUGUCGUCAGCUCGUGUCGUGAGAUGUUGGGUUAAGUCCCGCAACGAGCGCAACCCUUAUUAUCAGUUGCCAGCAUUAAGUUGGGCACUCUGGUGAGACUGCCGGUGACAAACCGGAGGAAGGUGGGGAUGACGUCAAAUCAUCAUGCCCCUUAUGACCUGGGCUACACACGUGCUACAAUGGAUGGUACAACGAGUUGCGAACUCGCGAGAGUAAGCUAAUCUCUUAAAGCCAUUCUCAGUUCGGAUUGUAGGCUGCAACUCGCCUACAUGAAGUCGGAAUCGCUAGUAAUCGCGGAUCAGCAUGCCGCGGUGAAUACGUUCCCGGGCCUUGUACACACCGCCCAUCACACCAUGAGAGUUUGUAACACCCAAAGUCGGU